GGGAAUGAUUAGGAGGCUGGUGCCCCUCGCGGUCUUCAACAUCGUUGUCUUACUGAUAAGGUAGGAGUUGGGUUCGAUUCCCAAGCGUUCCCG
RNAcentral lists this transfer RNA (93 nucleotides) under Flavobacteriaceae bacterium. RNAcentral describes it as "tRNA-Sec". It matches the Rfam family "Selenocysteine transfer RNA". Lineage: Bacteria; Pseudomonadati; Bacteroidota; Flavobacteriia; Flavobacteriales; Flavobacteriaceae. RNAcentral also lists the same sequence under 1 other name. The record is from RNAcentral.